GUCACGAUAGCUUAAGUGGUUAGAGCACCGGCGUAAUGAGCCCGAAGUCGUGGGUUCGAAUCCCGCUCGUGACA
Molecule: non-coding RNA, 74 nt
Organism: Cimex lectularius (bed bug)
Lineage: Eukaryota; Metazoa; Arthropoda; Insecta; Hemiptera; Cimicidae
Source: the annotation of a RefSeq genome assembly